Molecule: transfer RNA, 77 nt
Filed under: bacterium
Lineage: Bacteria
Also listed under: 2 other names
Description: tRNA-Val
Rfam family: tRNA
About the family: Transfer RNA (tRNA) molecules are approximately 80 nucleotides in length.
Source: RNAcentral
GGGCGCUUAGCUCAGUUGGUUAGAGCAUCUCCCUUACAAGGAGAGGGUCGGGGGUUCGAGUCCCUCAGCGCCUACCA